Poecilia latipinna (sailfin molly) is the source of this 3041-nucleotide long non-coding RNA. RefSeq lists it as uncharacterized. Lineage: Eukaryota; Metazoa; Chordata; Actinopteri; Cyprinodontiformes; Poeciliidae. The transcript is spliced from 2 exons. The record is from RefSeq and is a predicted model, not a curated record.
GGCGGCGGCGCGCGGGCGCGGCGGGGUACGUGGUGCGCGGGGCGGCCGCGGUGGAAAUGUGGGAGGAAAGCGGAAAGCUGACGGCUACAGCCAGCCAGAUUCCAAGCGCCGCCAGACCAAUAGUCAGAACUGGGGCUCCCAACCCAUUGCUCAGCAGCCGCUCCAUGGCGGGGACCAUGCUGGUAACUAUUCCGGGUACAAAUCUGACAACCAGGAAUUUUAUCAGGAUUCUUUUGGGCAGCAGUGGAAGUGAAACCAGUGAAACCAGUAGCGCUCUAAAACAAACCGCUGCUGGUUACAGACUCGAUCUGAUUGGUUGCCUGCAGGUUUUCCUCCAAAUUGGUGACAUCUGGCAAGAUCUGUGUACAUAUUUUAAAAUCAGCUUGGACUCCAAACAUAACCCCACCCCCACCUGUUUCUGGCGAACUGCUCUUCUUCUUCCCUUUGUUUUGACCACUUUUAAAGGCCGUUUUUUAGAGGCAGAUUUGUGCUGCAGCUCAAGCUUUCUGUAUGUUUUUACACUCUGGUUUCCAUGUUUUGAGUAGCUAACAGCAACAAAGCGUUUGUCUCCUAAACAUGUAUUUAAAGCGCUGAAAUGACGAUUUGUAUUGCGUGUGUUGUUCCUGAGAAGAACCAGAGGACCCAGCAGUCCUGUUCGGCUUGUAUUCUCUGCUGUUUGUCUGCUUUAAUAAACAUACACACACUCGUGUACAAAAACUACUUCAAAUUGUGUUAAAUUCAUGUUUGGGCAAAUUCUCUCUUCAAAUUUCCUUCAAAUUUAAGGCUCCUUGUGGAAGAAAUGGACUGAAGGUUUGCCAGGGUUGGCCCCGUGCUCCAGCGUCACCUUGCAUGCCAUCAGAUCCCAGAUCACCUACUCCUGUAUGUGUAGUGACAUACUCCAUCCUUAUCAGUUCCUCUCAUGUCCAAAAACAUAAAUGUCUCACAAAUUGGUGUCCUAAAUUCACUGGACGCAGCAUCAACAGCUGAGGGGGGGGGAGUCGAAGCACAAUUUGAUUUUAGUCUGAGCGAAGCUUUUCUUGUCCCAGAAGGAUCUUCCUCGCUGUUUCCCUGCUGGAUUUUAACCGCAGUGGUGGGACCGCUAACCGGCAAGCUAGCUGCGCUAAGCACAUUAGCCACGCCGCAUUCAGUGGACGCUAACGCCGAACACUGCAGCCGCGAGCAUCAAGUUCAUUUAGACGUUUUCUGUAAUGCGCUUUGACUUUGUUUGCUUUUUAUUAAACUUCAUUAUAAGUAUUUGUUGACUAACUUCGUAAUGAUCCAAGAAUAAAAUUGGAAUUUACGUCAAAGUAAUAAAAAGAUUGUAAUAAUGCAAUAAUAAUGUAAUAUUACCAAAAUAAAUUCGUGGUGAUGUAAUAUUACAACUAAUAUCCUUGUAAUGUAGCAAGAAUUUGUAAUAAUAUAAGAAAGUCGCAAUAUUACGAGAAAAAAUUAAGAAAAUAAAUGUUAUUUCUGAGAAUUAAACGAAUAAAGUCACCAUUCGCAAAAAAUCUUAAUAUAAAAAAGUCAAGACGUGAAUAAAGUCGUAGAAUACAAGAAAUUCGUAAUAAUACUUAAGUAAAGUCGAAGCUAAGUUUGCUACAUGAUUUCAAAGUUCACUAAAACGCUAAGGUAAUAGUUAGCACCGCUAUUAGCGCAUUAGCGGAAGCGUGCCCACCACUGCUAACCCUGCAUGUGCUGCUGCUUCUUUGCAUGACUCACCUGAGCGUCAAUCUAUCCAGUCUAGCUCUAUGGCUGCUCACCUGUCCGCUCCCUGCUGUCUUAGCGUCUCCUGCUAGCGCGUCCUGCUAGCGCGUCCUGCUAGCGUGUCGUGGGCAUUAACACAUGCAUGCGCUGUCAGGCUGUGAAUGCUCCCUGCUGCAGCAGAUGAUGAGUGUAGAUGUGCAGCGUCUCGUUUCCGUCUCUAAUUCUUCCUUUUGUUACCCGACUAGCAGGAAAAAGGGCCGGAGGUCGCCGCUGACGAGUCGCUGUGAGGCCGGGCCGGGCGGCGCCCCCUGCUGGAGGGAAUGACGGACUCGAUGAUCUGGGAUCAGCGCCGAGCCGUUCCAGCCGACCGCUAACUACCUCAGAGGACCAGAGUCCAGACCGGACGGCGCCGGAGGUUCGCCCCGGCCCAGGCCGUCCUCAGGCCUCCGGUUCUGGCCCAGAGGAGGGGACCCAACGGACCCCGGCGUGAGUCCAUCAGGCGCCAAGCAGAAGUUAGUCAAACAUGUUUAUCAGAACCGCCUCGAAUGGACCCAGACCUCCAUCAGAGCAGCACAAAACUCAAACUUUUAACAAAUUUGGCGACUAGAAGUCCUGGUUUCUCCCAGGACAUAAAUAACCCGACUGGUUUCAUUUACACCAGGAAACAUUCUGAAUAAAACUAGAAAACGUUGGAGCUAACAUUUUCAAAGUUAGCUAAAGCUAAAAGCUAGCCCUGCUAUUAGCAUCAUGUACUUAUUCAACGUGCUUAAAAAGCAAAUUAUCUGACGUCGUCAUAUUUUUCACGUAAAUGUAAAAUAAAUUUAUCAAGUGGAUCAUUUUUAAAUCCGUUUCCUCAGAUCAGAAACUGAUCAAAUUUUAACGGAUUUUAACAAAAAUCACUGCAAAGCUCCAUUUUCUGAUUUUUAUUUCUCACCCUGAAUGCCUCGUUAGCCCAGCUCUAGAACCGGACCGGCGGUCAGAACCGGGUUCUGGUUCCUAAUGAUCCGGCUCCACUCUGCCGGGUCGCUGGUUCCCCAGCUGAGGAUGGGGUUGCCAUGGCAACAGAUGGAGCUGCAGCCUGAAGGUCGUCGGGUUCAUUCGGUUCUGUUCCGGAGCGGUCACAUGACCCGACCCACACUCCCUCUGCAGACCCGGUUCCGGUCCAGAGCCAGAACCGUUUGGGUCAGAAAGCUGGCCUGGCUUCCUUUGGUGGCUCAGAGGUGAAAGGCAUUGUGGGAGAUGUAGUCGAGCACAGGAUGGUGUUGCUGCUUUUCUGCCAUUAAACAGAAUCUGGACCGAGGUUCUGGUCGGAUUCUGAUGAGCUGCUUUCAGAGAGU